RNAcentral lists this ribosomal RNA (305 nucleotides) under uncultured bacterium. RNAcentral's name for it is "bacterial SSU rRNA". It matches the Rfam family "Bacterial small subunit ribosomal RNA", at positions 334 to 657 of the family's 1533-position model. The record is from RNAcentral.
UGUUCCUACGGGACGCAGCAGUGGGGAAUAUUGCACAAUGGGGGAAACCCUGAUGCAGCGACGCCGCGUGAGCGAAGAAGUAUUUCGGUAUGUAAAGCUCUAUCAGCAGGGAAGAAAAUGACGGUACCUGACUAAGAAGCAUCGGCUAACUCCGUGCCAGCAGCCGCGGUAAUACGGAGGAUGCGAGCGUUAUCCGGAUUUAUUGGGUUUAAAGGGUGCGCAGGCGGCGAGUUAAGUCAGCGGUAAAAUUUCGGGGCUCAACCCCGACGAGCCGUUGAAACUGGCUUGCUAGAGUGGGCGAGAAG